This 440-nucleotide ribosomal RNA is filed under the name uncultured bacterium. Its description in RNAcentral is "partial 16S ribosomal RNA". It matches the Rfam family "Bacterial small subunit ribosomal RNA", at positions 338 to 795 of the family's 1533-position model. The record is from RNAcentral.
CCUACGGGUGGCAGCAGUGGGGAAUAUUGCACAAUGGGGGAAACCCUGAUGCAGCGACGCCGCGUGAGUGAAGAAGUAUUUCGGUAUGUAAAGCUCUAUCAGCAGGGAAGAAAAUGAAGGUUACUGAGCAAAAAGCCCCGGCCAACUUCGUGCCAGCAGCCGCGGUAAUACGUAGGGGGCAAGCGUUAUUCGGAAUUACUGGGUGUAAAGGGGGCGGAGACGGGAGUGCAAGUCUGGAGUGAAAGGCGGGGGCCCAACCCCCGGACUGCUUUGGAAACUGUACGGCUGGAGUGCAGGAGAGGUAAGUGGAAUUCCUAGUGUAGCGGUGAAAUGCGUAGAUAUUAGGAGGAACACCAGUGGCGAAGGCGGCUUACUGGACUGUAACUGACGUUGAGGCUCGAAAGCGUGGGGAGCAAACAGGAUUAGAUACCCCAGUAGUC